AACGAACGCUGGCGGCAUGCCUAACACAUGCAAGUCGAACGAGACCUUCGGGUCUAGUGGCGCACGGGUGCGUAACGCGUGGGAACCUGCCCUUAGGUUCGGAAUAACUCCCCGAAAGGGGUGCUAAUACCGGAUAAUGUCUUCGGACCAAAGAUUUAUCGCCUUUGGAUGGGCCCGCGUUGGAUUAGCUAGUUGGUAGGGUAAAAGCCUACCAAGGCGACGAUCCAUAGCUGGUCUGAGAGGAUGAUCAGCCACACUGGGACUGAGACACGGCCCAGACUCCUACGGGAGGCAGCAGUGGGGAAUAUUGGACAAGGGGCGAAAGCCUGAUACAGCAAUGCCGCGUGAGUGAUGAAGGCCUUAGGGUUGUAAAGCUCUUUUAGCCGGGAUGAUAAUGACAGUACCGGGAGAAUAAGCUCCGGCUAACUCCGUG
Molecule: ribosomal RNA, 433 nt
Filed under: uncultured bacterium
Lineage: Bacteria
Description: partial 16S ribosomal RNA
Rfam family: Bacterial small subunit ribosomal RNA
Source: RNAcentral